CUCCCUUCUUUGCUCUAUUCCAUUUGAUGUUCUCCCCUCUCUCCUCUCUCUAUUCACUCUCCCAAUUGAUCUUUCUCCUCAAUGCCUUUCGAUCUCUUUCUCUCUCCCUAUUUCUCUCCUCUCUCCCUCCCAAUCUCUCCCUUUCUCUUCUCUUCCUCCCAAUCUCUCUCCAUCCUCUCUCCCUCUCUCCCCCACACACACACUGCCUCUCUCGUGAUUUUCUCUCUUCAUCCCAAUUUUUCUCUUUUAGGAAAUAUUUGAUUGGGGAGAG
Molecule: long non-coding RNA, 271 nt
Filed under: Elaeis guineensis (African oil palm)
Lineage: Eukaryota; Viridiplantae; Streptophyta; Magnoliopsida; Arecales; Arecaceae
Description: long non-coding RNA (EGUI_LNC003369)
Source: RNAcentral